UUCACCUGGGGAGACAAUGUUGCCAGUGAGUGUCCUGGUUGCCUCUCUAUUCCAGCUCUUUGUCCUGGGCAGAGCUUGCUGCACCUUCCAGUUCCAGUAAUCAAGGAAGUGGAGUCCCUGCAAUUCUUCAAGGAACCUUGAGAACUCAGGAGGUCCUGGGGUGGCUGCAUCAAUCCUGCGGACCAAUGCCAGUCAGCAGAGGGGUCAUUCCCAGGGCCACAUGGCUGGCUGAGUUGGGCCUUGGCCAGAAUUGUUAAAAUAUGAAGACAUAUAAUCUCGGAAUCAAGGAAAAGAUGGCAACGGAAAACCAAGUAUUCAUGUUGCUUCCCAGGAAGAUGACGGGCUGAACAAAGGAGCUGGGAAGUCAGGUUUGUACCUGCACGGUGUAGGGUCAUCACUUAGCUCCAUGUGCCUCCUCUGAGGGCACGGGUGUAUAUGUUUGUGGUUGAUUGCUUUGAUAUAUUCCAUUUCAGUUUUAAAACACCCUGAGGCAACAGUGACCAAACUACUUUUAUCCAUUCACAAACAUACGAAAACCAAAUGUGGAUCUAGGAAAAGAGAUUGUUAAAUAAAUUAAUUUUUGCUACUACUACUCGUAUUUUUUAAAAAAAUAGCGCUGAAACCAAACCAA
RNAcentral lists this long non-coding RNA (631 nucleotides) under Rhinopithecus bieti (black snub-nosed monkey). RNAcentral's name for it is "lncRNA (ENSRBIG00000045768.1)". The record is from RNAcentral. Lineage: Eukaryota; Metazoa; Chordata; Mammalia; Primates; Cercopithecidae.